CCCCUAGAUGUUCUGGGCCGCACGCGCGCUACACUGAACAGUUCAACAAGUCUUAACCUUGGCCGAUAGGUCUGGGUAAUCUUUGAACGCUGUUCGUGAUUGGGAUAGACCUUUGCAAUUAUGGGUCUUCAACGAGGAAUUCCUAGUAAACGCAAGUCAUCAGCUUGCAUUGAUUACGUCCCUGCCCUUUGUACACACCGCCCGUCGCACCUACCGAUUGAAUGGUCCGGUGAAAUCUCGGGACGGCGGCUUGGUCGCUUGCGUCCGACUGCUGAAACUUGAUUAAACCAUAUCAUUUAGAUGAAGGUGAAGUCGUAACA
RNAcentral lists this ribosomal RNA (320 nucleotides) under uncultured eukaryote. RNAcentral's name for it is "partial 18S ribosomal RNA". It matches the Rfam family "Eukaryotic small subunit ribosomal RNA", at positions 1470 to 1796 of the family's 1831-position model. The record is from RNAcentral.